UGCCAGCCGCCGCGGUAAUACGGAGGGGGCAAGCGUUAAUCGGAAUUACUGGGCGUAAAGCGCGCGUAGGCGGCUUGUUAAGUCAGAUGUGAAAUCCCCGGGCUCAACCUGGGAACUGCAUCCGAUACUGGCGAGCUUGAGUACGGCAGAGGUUAGUGGAAUUCAAUGUGUAGCGGUGGAAUGCGUAGAUAUAUUGAGGAACACCAGUGGCGAAGGCGGCUAACUGGACCGGAACUGACGCUGAUGCACGAAAGCGUGGGUAGCAAACAGGAUUAGAUA
This 279-nucleotide ribosomal RNA is filed under the name uncultured bacterium. RNAcentral describes it as "partial 16S ribosomal RNA". It matches the Rfam family "Bacterial small subunit ribosomal RNA", at positions 506 to 784 of the family's 1533-position model. The record is from RNAcentral.